Molecule: ribosomal RNA, 253 nt
Filed under: uncultured bacterium
Lineage: Bacteria
Description: partial 16S ribosomal RNA
Rfam family: Bacterial small subunit ribosomal RNA
Source: RNAcentral
UACAGAGACUGCAAGCGUUAUUCGGAUUCACUGGGCGUAAAGGGUGCGCAGGCGGUCGGGUGUGUCAGAUGUGAAAUCCCGAGGCUCAACCUCGGAACUGCGUCUGAAACUACUCGACUAGAGUACUGGAGAGGGUAACGGAAUUCACGGUGUAGCAGUGAAAUGCGUAGAUAUCGUGAGGAACACCAGAGGCGAAGGCGGUUACCUGGACAGUUACUGACGCUCAGGCACGAAAGCAUGGGGAGCAAAAGGG